GGCUGUGCGUCCCCCGCCACGCAGUCCUCAGUGGAGAUGGUGAGUGACCCCUCCACAGCGCUGGCCCCUCGCCCUGACGUGCCGCCCGCCCGCCCCUCUCUCUCGGGAGCUUCCGGAGAACAGAUUUGCCUUUGCAAACAAUCUAGCGAGUCUGUAACAUGAUCGUCCACGCUCUGACCUGAGAUUACUGUUCUACCACUUGAUGUUCCUGUUUUUACUCAAGAACUGCACGCUGUGAGUACGACGGAAGCAACGACGACGUCUCCCCGGAGGAGCAGAGAGGGGCCAGGUAAGCGGGCGGGCCGGGGCAGGCCCGCUGCGCGGUGGGCAGGGCGUCCCUCUCUGCCGCGGAGCUGGGUGCCCGUGGACAGAGCCCGCAUGUGAGUGGGCAGCUCUGGCCAGGUGCCAACGAGCAGGACGGCGUUCCGGGCGCGUCGGGCUGCUGGGCCUGCCUGCCGUCUCUCCCCAGGGGCCCCCGGGAUCGCGCUCCCCGUCGUCUCGGGUGUGAUCGUCCUGCUCGCUGCCUACCUCGUCUACAAAUACGCCCGGUGCGGUUGGUCCCGGAGCGCGGAGCGGCUGGGGGUGGCGGAGCCAGACACCGCUCAUCGCCCUCCUCGCCUCUUCUGUAAACCAGGAGCAGCUCCUGACGACACGCCCCAAAGUCAGAUCGACCGGGGAAGAUACCAUGUCUUCCACUCAGGACAUCGAGACAGCCGUGCCCCUGCAACCGCAGACACUCGGAAAGGAGGACCCCGGGACGGCUUCCGGAAGGGGCCUGAACGCGGGGUGCGUCUGCAGCUGGGAGGAGCUGCCCCUCUGCUCGGUGAGUGUCCCCCACGCCCCUCUCUCUCCACCCUGUUCCUCUAGUUUUGCCGGCCUGCUGUCACCCACUCCUUCCUUCCUCUGCAUUUCGGGCCAAGCCCUUUCUGGCCAGGAAACCCCAGCCCGCGACUUCUGCUGUCCUCGGAUUCCGCCUGGCCCUGGGCUGGGAAAGCUAAGGGCAGAGCUGUCCAGACGGCGGGGCCAGCAUGGCACCGGGACCUCCUGCCACUGCUGGCCUCGGGCGGGUGUCUUCCCGCCCGGUCCUCAUUUCUGCAUCCCACGAUGGGCAUCACACACUGCAGUCCCGGUGCUGUCAAGAAGCGGGUACGGGGCCUGCUGGAGACCCCACCCCAAUAUGCAGGACGCAGCAAGUCCCGCGGGGACUCAGGGAGCAGUCACUGAAGUUACACUUUUGUCCUCUGUGAUUCUGUGUUUUAAAAUUAUGGUAAAAUUCAUAUAGGGAAAAUCACCUGUGUGUGUGUGUGUGAGAGAGAGAGAGAGAGAGAGAGAAAGAAAGACAGGGCCUCGCUGUGUAGCCCAGGCUGGACUUGAACUCACCCCAAUCCUCCUGCCUCAGCCUCAAGUGCUGGGGCGAUGGGCGUGCGCCCCACAGUGGGCUGAGAAAUCACCGGCUUAGUGCGCUGCUCAGAGCACUCCCCGCUCUGCUCUGUAGUCCCAGAAUGUUGUCACCCCAAACGGACGGACACGGCCUUUCUUCACUCCCCUUACCCCUCCCAGCCCAGCCCUCCGAGCUGUCACUGAGCACGUGGACAGCUGUCCAUGCGGAUUAUCCGUCACCACUUUACAAGUCAUCGCAAACGGGAGGCGGACGCUGGGUCUGGACCUCGGUCUCGCACGCCUGUAAUCCCAGGAGGAUCCCUUUUUUUUUUUUUCUGUCUGUCUGUCUGAGACAGGGUCCCACUGUGCAGUUCAGGCUGGCCUUGAGCUCACUUUGUAGCCCAGGCUGGUCUCGAACUCACAGCGAUCCAGGAGCAUCACUUCACCGAGGGUUCCAGGCAGGCCUGGGCUGCAGAGAGUGAGACCCUGUCUCAAAGAACAAAGACAAAAAUAAAGUAAAAUGAUAUAAAGCGAGAGGUGUCAUUUAC
This 1928-nucleotide long non-coding RNA is filed under the name Chinchilla lanigera (long-tailed chinchilla). RNAcentral's name for it is "lncRNA (ENSCLAG00000024732.1)". The record is from RNAcentral. Lineage: Eukaryota; Metazoa; Chordata; Mammalia; Rodentia; Chinchillidae.